This 292-nucleotide ribosomal RNA is filed under the name uncultured prokaryote. RNAcentral describes it as "partial 16S ribosomal RNA". It matches the Rfam family "Bacterial small subunit ribosomal RNA", at positions 505 to 796 of the family's 1533-position model. The record is from RNAcentral.
GUGUCAGCAGCCGCGGUAAUACGGAGGGUGCAAGCGUUACUCGGAAUUACUGGGCGUAAAGCGUGCGUAGGUGGUUGUUUAAGUCUGUCGUGAAAGCCCUGGGCUCAACCUGGGAACUGCGAUGGAGACUGGGCAACUAGAGUGUGGUAGAGGGUAGCGGAAUUCCUGGUGUAGCAGUGAAAUGCGUAGAUAUCAGGAGGAACAUCCAUGGCGAAGGCAGCUACCUGGGCCAACACUGACACUGAGGCACGAAAGCGUGGGGAGCAAACAGGAUUAGAUACCCUAGUAGUCC